Long non-coding RNA from Eriocheir sinensis (Chinese mitten crab), 2709 nucleotides. RefSeq lists it as uncharacterized. The record is from RefSeq and is a predicted model, not a curated record. The transcript has 2 exons. Lineage: Eukaryota; Metazoa; Arthropoda; Malacostraca; Decapoda; Varunidae.
CAAAGAGGAAAACAGUGGAAGUAAAAGAAAGGAAGGUACGGAUGCAUGAAGAAUGAAAGGUAUAUGGUGGGAUAUAAUAUAGAAACGAAUGAAGAAGGAAGGCGGUGAGUGGUAACGAUGAUUUAGAUUAUAUAAAAAUUUAUCACUAACACGAUAAGGAGAUCCGUCAGUGAUUCACGCAGCGCUAAUGUGUACCUUCCGUGUUUAGUUCUUCCUUCAAUACGUAUUACAACCCCGCAUAGUACGUCACGCGCUGAGUCAGUCCUGGAUUGCGUCACCACUGUUAACCCACAACAAUCAGUCGAAUACCGUAGAUGAAACGCUCCAUUCGUUACCAUACUUAAGGCUUACUCGAACAUCACUCACAAAAAGGAUGCUUAACAUAUCAUGACGGUACCUGUCUACUUUUCCUGUCAUUAUGUAUCGAUUACGUGAUGAUUACCGAUUAUACCAUUUGUGUGGUUCUGCUUAAAGCGGUUGUCUUGAAAGUUAUUUAACUACAUCUUGAUUUUUCAAAAAAGUUUGAAAGUAAAGGUAACGUUGGGGGCAUACGCUAUAGCUGCGCGUGGUCACGGUGCUCGUCUCCGUCGCAUUGGUACUUGAGCCUGUGGUGGGUAACAACCAAUCACUCCGGAACACAUGACCGGUGUGACAUCCGGGUUACGACAGUUUACCUUUUCCAGGUUUCCCCAGGUACCCAUUUAUCGACCAGCCCGAAUGGCAGGAUAACCAGGUGGUUGUGCUGCACUCCGACUGCCCGGGCCAGGAUUCGAACCCGGGCCGACGGAUUUGUAGCUAGUCACGCUAACCACUCGACCACGGAGGCUGUCUAAAAAGGUUACCAAUAUUUUUUCAAGAUUACAAGUAUGACAGUAAGUACUUAGUUACUCCUCGUGGAAACUGUAUCGAGGAGCUAGGGGAAAUCCGUAAUAAUAACUUUUCCUAAUAAGUUUACCUAGAUUAUACGCUGGAAAUUCCUUAACUCACCAUGGGUUCAGUCUUGCGUCGCUCACCACGAGAAGGUACGUACGUACUUGAAACAGCCCCAUUAGAAAUUAGGCAGCUGCUUUCCUGAAGGUGGCCCCUAUAUGACACUGCUCUAGACGAAAGAUUUUAUCGAUGGUCUCAGGAGGUUCAUUACGACUAUAAGAGAGAGAGAGAGAGAGAGAGAGAGAGAGAGAGAGAGAGAGAGAGAGAGAGAGAGAGAGAGAGAGAGAGAUACCCUACCUAGUCCAAAGUGACUGUAGUUCCCAUGCAUUCCUUUCUUUCCUUUCAUUCAUCCAUGCUGACACAAAGAAAACUUAAGGAAAAAUACUACGAAUCUGAAGAUCACACACACGUGUAGAGGCGGAUGUGUAUCAAGAAAACGUUAUCUAGAUCGUAUAAAAGCAUGGUCAGUCCUCCAGGCCUCAUCAGUCCGGCUUUGCCACGCCUGGAGCUACAGUCACAUCAGGUAACUGCUACAUCACACUCGUUGUGCACAGAAGGGUCAGACCGAAACAGAUGGUAAUCUGAGCAGCAUAUGCUUCUACUCCGUUACUGCCAUUAUGGCCAGCCAUUCUGGACGGUUGCUGAUGGUGAUAAGUCUCCUUACCACGCAAAAACUAUUCUCUGUUAAAUGUCUAGAAAUAAAUGUAUGCGAAGUAACGGGUAUACCCAGUCUGACCGUUGACUCAGAAAAGAAUGGGGCAUUUAAGAUAGAAUGUGAAAAAACUGGAGAAAAGACAUGCACUGAAAAAUGUGAACCAGAGUUGAUAUCAGUGAAGUGUAACUUCGACUGUGAGUGUGACGACCCGAUGGCAGACUCGGUGAAAGAGUGUAGCUGUCCGCCUAUAACGGCUAGCAUCGGUGGUGUCGACACUGUUAUAGGCUGUGUUAAGAUAAAAAUUAAUACAGCUAGUGUGCAACAACCCGCAGAACGAUCAUAAUUCUUUUUUUUUUUUUCGGCGACAUUACUGUGGUAUAUGCUCUAGCUGUGUUAUUAUGGAAGUUUACUGUAUGGGGAGGAGCAGAGAGCAAAGAAAGUCGUCGCCGCUGCUAGUUUACGCCUCCGAAAAUGUAAAUGUCAGAAGAAAUUAUGAUGCUGCUGGCGUACAUGUGCGGCUCAUGCAAAGUGACUUCUAAAAGCAUAGUGAAGAAGCGAGGAAAAGGAGCUUUGUUGAAGAUGAGCUUCUGCAUGGAUGCAGUGCCGCCUUUUAUUUGUUGAUGCCGCUAUUAGAAUGGCAUGCAGAGCGCUGCGCUGACAGUGGAGCGGGGCCUGAAACCUUAUCUUAUGAAUGUGACAGGAAUGGAACCACGCUCUUGAAGAUGGGUGCCAGUGUCUUCCAUGCUCGGACAACAUCUACGUCUGACAUCUCUACGAAGCAGUUAUAUGUUAACAAUUUAGUACAUAAAAACGUGCCUGUUGAAUUAUGAGUAUUUAUGCCUAGAAAAAGAAUUACUGUAGCAUUACGAUAAUUUCUACUUAAAAGAUCUAAUCGUUUAGAUUAAACAUGUAAUGUAAGUUUUGAGUGCUGCCUUACAUUUGUACCGAAAAAAUACUUAAAUUGUCUUGUAAAAUGGCACCUUGAAAAUGGUCGCUGUAACCUCAAGGAAGCAGCAGCGGUAAUAUAAUAUAAAGGAAACGAUGCUCGGUUCGCGUAGUAUUGUUUGCAUGUAUAGUGAUAAUAAUAUGUGAUAAAUAAUAAAAAAAAUGAUCAAUAAUGAAAA